RNAcentral lists this ribosomal RNA (433 nucleotides) under uncultured bacterium. RNAcentral describes it as "partial 16S ribosomal RNA". It matches the Rfam family "Bacterial small subunit ribosomal RNA", at positions 29 to 507 of the family's 1533-position model. The record is from RNAcentral.
AACGAACGCUGGCGGCAGGCCUAACACAUGCAAGUCGAGCGGACCCUUCGGGGUUAGCGGCGGACGGGUGAGUAACGCGUGGGAACGUGCCCUUUGCUUCGGAAUAGCCCUGGGAAACUGGGAGUAAUACCGGAUACGCCCUUUUGGGGAAAGAUUUAUCGGCGAAGGAUCGGCCCGCGUUGGAUUAGGUAGUUGGUGGGGUAAUGGCCUACCAAGCCGACGAUGCAUAGCUGGUGGGAGAGGAUGAUAAGCCACACUGGAGAUGCGACACGGCCCAGAAUCGUACGGAGGGCAGCAGUGGGGAAUCUUAGACAAUGGAGGAAGCCCUGAUCUAGCCGCGCCGGGGGAGCGAUGAAGGCGUUAGGGUUGUAAAGCUCUUUGUGCGGGGAAGAUAGUGACGGUACCCGGUAAAGAAGCCCCGGCUAACUCCGUG